UUUUCAAUUUGGAAGUCUCCGGUUAGGAAAGGCUUUCCAGGAUGAAGGACAGCACCGGGGCUCUCAGCAGCGGCUUGCGUGUUGAUGGCGUGUGCACGGCCGAGGACGCCCUCGCCGUUUCUGAGCCUUUCAGUUCCAAGCACAGCCCAAAUCAUGUCCCAAAUAUUUGAUCCAUUUUUUAAAAAGAGAACCCAAGUACACGUCAGAUAAAAUUAAAGGCAGCUCUUCAGUACAUCGACUUCAUUUACAUUCCGGUUUUGUUUCGUUCUUCUGGUUGGUUCGUGAUCUUGCUGGCUUCAGCAGCGAAGCUACAGACCUUCACGAUGAGUGUCACAGCUCUUAAGGUGGCGCGUCUGGAGUCGUUCAUCCCUCCUGGUGGAUUCGUGGUCUCGCUGGCCUCAGAAAUGACGCUGCAGACCUUCU
Molecule: long non-coding RNA, 423 nt
Filed under: Homo sapiens (human)
Lineage: Eukaryota; Metazoa; Chordata; Mammalia; Primates; Hominidae
Description: HSALNT0207184
Source: RNAcentral